GAUGAACGCUGGCGGCGUGGAUAAGGCAUGCAAGUCGAGUGGGUUUAGACCCACGGCAAACGGGUUAGUAAUACAUAGGAACAUUCCCAAAAGUCAUGAAUAACUCGGAGAAAUCCGAGAUAAUACAUGAUGUGCUCUACGGAGUAAAGGUUUACCGCUUUUGGAGUGGCCUGUGUCCUAUCAGCUUGUUGGUGAGGUAAUAGCUCACCAAGGCAAUGACGGGUAGGGGAUGUGAGAGCAUGGUCCCCAACAUUGGAACUGAGACACUGUCCAAACACCUACGGGUGGCUGCAGUCGAUAAUAUUCCACAAUGGGCGAAAGCCUGAUGGAGCGACGCCGCGUGCAGGAUGAAGGCCUUCGGGUUGUAAACUGCUUUUUUUGGGGACGAAUUUCGUGACGGUACCCAAAGAAUAAGAGGUUACUAACUCUGU
RNAcentral lists this ribosomal RNA (431 nucleotides) under uncultured bacterium. Its description in RNAcentral is "bacterial SSU rRNA". It matches the Rfam family "Bacterial small subunit ribosomal RNA", at positions 28 to 506 of the family's 1533-position model. The record is from RNAcentral.